Hyaena hyaena (striped hyena) is the source of this 107-nucleotide small nuclear RNA. The record is from RefSeq and is a predicted model, not a curated record. NCBI's taxonomy places the organism in Eukaryota, Metazoa, Chordata, Mammalia, Carnivora, Hyaenidae.
GUGCUCACUCCAGUAGCACAUACACUAAAAUUGGAAAGAUACAGAGAAGAUUAACAUGGCCUCUGCUCCCAGAUGAUACGCAAAUUCAUUAAGUGUUCCAUAUUUAA